GGUUCCAUAGUAUAGUGGUUAGCACAUCUGCUUUACACGCAGAAAGUCUUGCUUGGGUUCAUACCCCACUGGAGCUA
RNAcentral lists this transfer RNA (77 nucleotides) under Pteropus alecto (black flying fox). It matches the Rfam family "tRNA". Rfam says of the family: Transfer RNA (tRNA) molecules are approximately 80 nucleotides in length. Their secondary structure includes four short double-helical elements and three loops (D, anti-codon, and T loops). Further hydrogen bonds mediate the characteristic L-shaped molecular structure. tRNAs have two regions of fundamental functional importance: the anti-codon, which is responsible for specific mRNA codon recognition, and the 3' end, to which the tRNAs corresponding amino acid is attached (by aminoacyl-tRNA synthetases). tRNAs cope with the degeneracy of the genetic code in two manners: having more than one tRNA (with a specific anti-codon) for a particular amino acid; and 'wobble' base-pairing, i.e. permitting non-standard base-pairing at the 3rd anti-codon position. RNAcentral also lists the same sequence under 1 other name. Lineage: Eukaryota; Metazoa; Chordata; Mammalia; Chiroptera; Pteropodidae. The record is from Rfam by way of RNAcentral.